Molecule: ribosomal RNA, 440 nt
Filed under: uncultured bacterium
Lineage: Bacteria
Description: partial 16S ribosomal RNA
Rfam family: Bacterial small subunit ribosomal RNA
Source: RNAcentral
CCUACGGGAGGCAGCAGUAGGGAAUAUUGCUCAAUGGGGGAAACCCUGAAGCAGCCACGCCGCGUGAAGGAUGAAGGUUUUCGGAUUGUAAACCUCUUUUGUUAGAGAAGAUAAUGACGGUAUCUGAGGAAUAAGCACCGGCUAACUCCGUUCCAGCAGCCGCGGUAAUACGGAGGGUGCAAGCGUUAUCCGGAUUCACUGGGCGUAAAGCGGGCGUAGGCGGGAUAGCAAGUCAGAUGUGAAAUCCUAUGGCUUAACCAUAGAACUGCAUUUGAAACUGUUAGGCUAGAGUACGGGAGAGGUAGGUGGAAUUCGUGGUGUAGGGGUGAAAUGCGUAGAGAUCAAGAGGAAUACACAUGGCGAAGGCGGCCUGCUAGAACGUAACUGACGUUGAUGCGCGAAAGCGUGGGGAGCAAACAGGAUUAGAUACCCGAGUAGUC